CUGGGAGGACCAUCUCCUAAGGCUAAAUACUCUCUAGUGACCGAUAGUGAACCAGUACCGUGAGGGAAAGGUGAAAAGCACCCCGGAAGGGGAGUGAAAUAGAACCUGAAACCGUGUGCUUACAAGUAGUCAGAGCCCGUUAAUGGGUGAUGGCGUGCCUUUUGUAGAAUGAACCGGCGAGUUACGAUUUGAUGCAAGGUUAAGCAGUAAAUGUGGAGCCGUAGCGAAAGCGAGUCUGAAUAGGGCGUUUAGUAUUUGGUCGUAGACCCGAAACCAGGUGAUCUACCCUUGGUCAGGUUGAAGUUCAGGUAACACUGAAUGGAGGACCGAACCGACUUACGUUGAAAAGUGAGCGGAUGAACUGAGGGUAGCGGAGAAAUUCCAAUCGAACCUGGAGAUAGCUGGUUCUCUCCGAAAUAGCUUUAGGGCUAGCCUCAAGUGAUGAUUAUUGGAGGUAGAGCACUGUUUGGACGAGGGGCCCCUCUCGGGUUACCGAAUUCAGACAAACUCCGAAUGCCAAUUAAUUUAACUUGGGAGUCAGAACAUGGGUGAUAAGGUCCGUGUUCGAAAGGGAAACAGCCCAGACCACCAGCUAAGGUCCCAAAAUAUAUGUUAAGUGGAAAAGGAUGUGGCGUUGCCCAGACAAC
Molecule: ribosomal RNA, 647 nt
Filed under: Staphylococcus aureus
Lineage: Bacteria; Bacillati; Bacillota; Bacilli; Caryophanales; Staphylococcaceae
Description: partial 23S ribosomal RNA
Rfam family: Bacterial large subunit ribosomal RNA
Source: RNAcentral